RNAcentral lists this ribosomal RNA (446 nucleotides) under uncultured bacterium. RNAcentral describes it as "bacterial SSU rRNA". It matches the Rfam family "Bacterial small subunit ribosomal RNA", at positions 331 to 794 of the family's 1533-position model. The record is from RNAcentral.
CCAGACUCCUACGGGAGGCAGCAGUGGGGAAUAUUGCACAAUGGGCGAAAGCCUGGUGUAGCGACGCCGCGUGAGUGAAGAAGUAUUUCGGUAUGUAAAGCUCUAUCAGCAGGGAAGAAAAUGACGGUACCUGACUAAGAAGCCCCGGCUAACUACGUGCCAGCAGCCGCGGUAAUACGUAGGGGGCAAGCGUUAUCCGGAUUUACUGGGUGUAAAGGGAGUGUAGGUGGCAUAACAAGUCAGAAGUGAAAGCCCGGGGCUCAACCGCGGAACUGCAUUUGAAACUGUCAGUCUUGAGUACCGGAGAGGUCAUCGGAAUUCCUUGUGUAGCGGUGAAAUGCGUAGAUAUAAGGAAGAACACCAGUGGCGAAGGCGGAUGACUGGACGGCAACUGACGGUGAGGCGCGAAAGCGUGGGGAGCAAACAGGAUUAGAUACCCUCGUACA